AUGAAUGCGAGCAAUGCUGGGGUAAUCACCCCGCUUCCGCGUGCUUCAAAAAUAAGCCUCAGCCCUUUCGGGGGGGCAGGGGGUACUUCCUUAACAAUCCCAGAGGUGCCCCCGGUGCAUCCCGUCAAGGUCCCACCAAUCGCCAGUAACACUGAUCUAGGUUUGGCAUUCUCCCCUAUUCGCCUGCAGCCCCUCAAAGCCCUAUUGGAACAAUACCCAGAUAAAACCGCGGGGAAAUACCUCUGGGAGGGGUUUUCUACGGGAUUUAGGAUCCCGGUGGCUACCCCACCCAACUCCAGGGAGGCGGAUAACCAAAAAUCUGUUAGGGAACGGCCCGACAUAGUCAGAAAGAAAAUAGAGAAAGAAAUCAGGGCAGGCAGGGUUGCGGGUCCUUUUCUUGAACCGCCUUUCCAGGGGCUUCACCUUUCCCCGCUGGGCAUUGUGCCAAAGAAGGCCCCGGGGGAAUUCCGCAUGAUUCACAACCUCUCUUACCCGAGAGGGGGUUCUGUUAAUGAUGCGAUUCCUCAGGAGCUUUGUACAGUGAAAUACGCCUCCUUCGAUCAGGCUGUAAAAAUGAUCCGUCGAUUCGGUCAGGGGGCGUUCCUAGCAAAAUGCGACAUUGAGUCCGCCUUCCGCCUUCUUCCAGUUCACCCAGAUGACUUUAAAUGGCUGGGCUUUAAAUUUGACAGUGCGUAUUUCAUUGACAAGGCUAUGCCCAUGGGCUGCUCCGUUGCUUGUGCAGCCUUUGAAUCUUUCAGCACAUUCCUGGACUGGGCCCUACGCAACAGGACAGGGUCUUUUGGCGUAUCACACUAUCUUGACGAUUUUAUUUUGGCCGCAGACAGUAAAUUACGGUGCUCCACUAUGCUAAAGGCUUUCACAUCCCUAGCCGGCGAAUUAGGGGUACCCCUAGCCGCCGGCAAGACAGAGGGCCCAGCCACAUCCCUAGUCUAUCUGGGUAUCGAGUUGGACACCGUGGCCCAAACUUCCCGCUUACCCGCUGAAAAGUUGGUGGCGCUCAAGACAAUCAUACAACAGCUCUUGCCUCUAAAGAAAAUAACAUUGAGACAGAUCCAAUCCCUGCUAGGCCAUUUGAACUUCGCUUGCAGGGUUGUAGCCCCAGGGCGGCCAUUUUGCGGCCGUCUGGCUCGAUUGGCGGCGGGCCUCAGAGCCCCUCAACACAGGGUGCGCCUCUCCAAGCAGGUGAAAGCUGACCUGGGGGUGUGGUUACAAUUCCUAGAGAAGUACAACGGGAUUUCAUUAUGGCAGGAUACCCUCCUUCUUAAUGCCGACCUCCAAGUUCAAUCAGAUGCAGCAGGGUCCUCAGGUUUCGGUGUUUAUUUUCGCGGACAGUGGUGUGCCAAAAGGUGGCCCGCGGAGUGGCAAGGUCAGCCCAUCACCAGGGACCUUACCUUCUUGGAGUUCUUCCCGAUUGUCGUAGCGGUGCAUUUGUGGGCGGAUCAAUUUCGUAAUCGCAGGGUUUGUUUUAACACCGACAAUCAAGCAGUGGUAGCGGUCCUCGCUAGGCAAUCUGCACGGUCCACCAGGGUGGGUAACCUAUUGCGCGCCUUUGUCCUUCUGUGUUUAGAACAGAAUAUUUACUUUUCGGCCAAAUUCGUGCCUGGCAUUAAUAAUGACAUCGCGGACGCUUUAUCUCGUUUUCAGAUGGAGCGCUUCCGCUCAUUAGCGCCAGAAGCGGACCAAUCAUCGAUGCCUUUCCCGGAGCAUCUCUGGAGGAUUGGGAGCGAGAUAUAA
Podarcis muralis (Common wall lizard) is the source of this 1755-nucleotide long non-coding RNA. The record is from Ensembl. NCBI's taxonomy places the organism in Eukaryota, Metazoa, Chordata, Lepidosauria, Squamata, Lacertidae.